Molecule: ribosomal RNA, 253 nt
Filed under: uncultured bacterium
Lineage: Bacteria
Description: partial 16S ribosomal RNA
Rfam family: Bacterial small subunit ribosomal RNA
Source: RNAcentral
UACGUAGGCAGCAAGCGUUGUUCGGAGUUACUGGGCGUAAAGGGUGCGUAGGCGGUUGUUUAAGUUUGGUGUGAAAUCUCCCGGCUCAACUGGGAGGGUGCGCCGAAUACUGAAUGACUAGAGUGCGGGAGAGGAGAGUGGAAUUCCUGGUGUAGCGGUGAAAUGCGUAGAUAUCGGGAGGAACACCUGCGGCGAAAGCGGCUCACUGGACCACAACUGACGCUGAGGCGCGAAAGCUAGGGGAGCAAACAGG